RNAcentral lists this ribosomal RNA (1463 nucleotides) under Limosilactobacillus reuteri. Its description in RNAcentral is "bacterial SSU rRNA". It matches the Rfam family "Bacterial small subunit ribosomal RNA". Lineage: Bacteria; Bacillati; Bacillota; Bacilli; Lactobacillales; Lactobacillaceae. The record is from RNAcentral.
GUGCCUAAUACAUGCAAGUCGUACGCACUGGCCCAACUGAUUGAUGGUGCUUGCACCUGAUUGACGAUGGAUCACCAGUGAGUGGCGGACGGGUGAGUAACACGUAGGUAACCUGCCCCGGAGCGGGGGAUAACAUUUGGAAACAGAUGCUAAUACCGCAUAACAACAAAAGCCACAUGGCUUUUGUUUGAAAGAUGGCUUUGGCUAUCACUCUGGGAUGGACCUGCGGUGCAUUAGCUAGUUGGUAAGGUAACGGCUUACCAAGGCGAUGAUGCAUAGCCGAGUUGAGAGACUGAUCGGCCACAAUGGAACUGAGACACGGUCCAUACUCCUACGGGAGGCAGCAGUAGGGAAUCUUCCACAAUGGGCGCAAGCCUGAUGGAGCAACACCGCGUGAGUGAAGAAGGGUUUCGGCUCGUAAAGCUCUGUUGUUGGAGAAGAACGUGCGUGAGAGUAACUGUUCACGCAGUGACGGUAUCCAACCAGAAAGUCACGGCUAACUACGUGCCAGCAGCCGCGGUAAUACGUAGGUGGCAAGCGUUAUCCGGAUUUAUUGGGCGUAAAGCGAGCGCAGGCGGUUGCUUAGGUCUGAUGUGAAAGCCUUCGGCUUAACCGAAGAAGUGCAUCGGAAACCGGGCGACUUGAGUGCAGAAGAGGACAGUGGAACUCCAUGUGUAGCGGUGGAAUGCGUAGAUAUAUGGAAGAACACCAGUGGCGAAGGCGGCUGUCUGGUCUGCAACUGACGCUGAGGCUCGAAAGCAUGGGUAGCGAACAGGAUUAGAUACCCUGGUAGUCCAUGCCGUAAACGAUGAGUGCUAGGUGUUGGAGGGUUUCCGCCCUUCAGUGCCGGAGCUAACGCAUUAAGCACUCCGCCUGGGGAGUACGACCGCAAGGUUGAAACUCAAAGGAAUUGACGGGGGCCCGCACAAGCGGUGGAGCAUGUGGUUUAAUUCGAAGCUACGCGAAGAACCUUACCAGGUCUUGACAUCUUGCGCUAACCUUAGAGAUAAGGCGUUCCCUUCGGGGACGCAAUGACAGGUGGUGCAUGGUCGUCGUCAGCUCGUGUCGUGAGAUGUUGGGUUAAGUCCCGCAACGAGCGCAACCCUUGUUACUAGUUGCCAGCAUUAAGUUGGGCACUCUAGUGAGACUGCCGGUGACAAACCGGAGGAAGGUGGGGACGACGUCAGAUCAUCAUGCCCCUUAUGACCUGGGCUACACACGUGCUACAAUGGACGGUACAACGAGUCGCAAGCUCGCGAGAGUAAGCUAAUCUCUUAAAGCCGUUCUCAGUUCGGACUGUAGGCUGCAACUCGCCUACACGAAGUCGGAAUCGCUAGUAAUCGCGGAUCAGCAUGCCGCGGUGAAUACGUUCCCGGGCCUUGUACACACCGCCCGUCACACCAUGGGAGUUUGUAACGCCCAAAGUCGGUGGCCUAACCUUUAUGGAGGGAGCCGCCUAAGGC